ACUAUCGUUAACUGAAUACAUAGGUUAACGAGGCGAACCGGGGGAACUGAAACAUCUAAGUACCCCGAGGAAAAGAAAUCAACCGAGAUUCCCCCAGUAGCGGCGAGCGAACGGGGAGCAGCCCAGAGUCUGAAUCAGCUUGUGUGUUAGUGGAACGGUCUGGAAAGUCCGACGGUACAGGGUGAUAGUCCCGUACACCAAAAUGCACAGGUUGUGAACUCGAAGAGUAGGGCGGGACACGUGGUAUCCUGUCUGAAUAUGGGGGGACCAUCCUCCAAGGCUAAAUACUCCUGACUGACCGAUAGUGAACCAGUACCGUGAGGGAAAGGCGAAAAGAACCCCGGCGAGGGGAGUGAAAAAGAACCUGAAACCGUGUACGUACAAGCAGUGGGAGCACCUUCGGGUGUGACUGCGUACCUUUUGUAUAAUGGGUCAGCGACUUAUAUUCUGUAGCAAGGUUAACCGUAUAGGGGAGCCGCAGGGAAACCGAGUCUUAACUGGGCGUUAAGUUGCAGGGUAUAGACCCGAAACCCGGUGAUCUAGCCAUGGGCAGGUUGAAGGUUGGGUAACACUAACUGGAGGACCGAACCGACUAAUGUUGAAAAAUUAGCGGAUGACUUGUGGCUGGGGGUGAAAGGCCAAUCAAACCGGGAGAUAGCUGGUUCUCCCCGAAAGCUAUUUAGGUAGCGCCUCGUGAAUUCAUCUUCGGGGGUAGAGCACUGUUUCGGCUAGGGGGUCAUCCCGACUUACCAACCCGAUGCAAACUACGAAUACCGAAGAAUGUUAUCACGGGAGACACACGGCGGGUGCUAACGUCCGUCGUGAAGAGGGAAACAACCCAGACCGCCAGCUAAGGUCCCAAAGUCAUGGUUAAGUGGGAAACGAUGUGGGAAGGCACAGACAGCCAGGAUGUUGGCUUAGAAGCAGCCAUCAUUUAAAGAAAGCGUAAUAGCUCACUGGUCGAGUCGGCCUGCGCGGAAGAUGUAACGGGGCUAAACCAUGCACCGAAGCUGCGGCAGCGACACUAUGUGUUGUUGGGUAGGGGAGCGUUCUGUAAGCCUGNGAAGGUGACCUGUGAGGGUUGCUGGAGGUAUCAGAAGUGCGAAUGCUGACAUAAGUAACGAUAAAGCGGGUGAAAAGCCCGCUCGCCGGAAGACCAAGGGUUCCUGUCCAACGUUAAUCGGGGCAGGGUGAGUCGACCCCUAAGGCGAGGCCGAAAGGCGUAGUCGAUGGGAAACAGGUUAAUAUUCCUGUACUUGGUGUUACUGCGAAGGGGGGACGGAGAAGGCUAUGUUAGCCGGGCGACGGUUGUCCCGGUUUAAGCAUGUAGGCUGGUUAUCCAGGCAAAUCCGGAUAAUCAAGGCUGAGGUGUGAUGACGAGGCACUACGGUGCUGAAGUAACAAAUGCCCUGCUUCCAGGAAAAGCCUCUAAGCAUCAGGUAACAUCAAAUCGUACCCCAAACCGACACAGGUGGUCAGGUAGAGAAUACCAAGGCGCUUGAGAGAACUCGGGUGAAGGAACUAGGCAAAAUGGUGCCGUAACUUCGGGAGAAGGCACGCUGGUGUGUAGGUGAAGCCCCUGCGGGUGGAGCUGAGACCAGUCGAAGAUACCAGCUGGCUGCAACUGUUUAUUAAAAACACAGCACUGUGCAAACACGAAAGUGGACGUAUACGGUGUGACGCCUGCCCGGUGCCGGAAGGUUAAUUGAUGGGGUUAUCCGUAAGGAGAAGCUCUUGAUCGAAGCCCCGGUAAACGGCGGCCGUAACUAUAACGGUCCUAAGGUAGCGAAAUUCCUUGUCGGGUAAGUUCCGACCUGCACGAAUGGCGUAAUGAUGGCCAGGCUGUCUCCACCCGAGACUCAGUGAAAUUGAACUCGCUGUGAAGAUGCAGUGUACCCGCGGCAAGACGGAAAGACCCCGUGAACCUUUACUAUAGCUUGACACUGAACAUUGAGCCUUGAUGUGUAGGAUAGGUGGGAGGCUUUGAAGCGUGGACGCCAGUCUGCGUGGAGCCAACCUUGAAAUACCACCCUUUAAUGUUUGAUGUUCUAACGUUGGCCCCUGACCGGGGUUGCGGACAGUGUCUGGUGGGUAGUUUGACUGGGGCGGUCUCCUCCCAAAGCGUAACGGAGGAGCACGAAGGUUAGCUAAUCCUGGUCGGACAUCAGGAGGUUAGUGCAAUGGCAUAAGCUAGCUUGACUGCGAGCGUGACGGCGCGAGCAGGUGCGAAAGCAGGUCAUAGUGAUCCGGUGGUUCUGAAUGGAAGGGCCAUCGCUCAACGGAUAAAAGGUACUCCGGGGAUAACAGGCUGAUACCGCCCAAGAGUUCAUAUCGACGGCGGUGUUUGGCACCUCGAUGUCGGCUCAUCACAUCCUGGGGCUGAAGUAGGUCCCAAGGGUAUGGCUGUUCGCCAUUUAAAGUGGUACGCGAGCUGGGUUUAGAACGUCGUGAGACAGUUCGGUCCCUAUCUGCCGUGGGCGCUGGAGAAUUGAGGGGGGCUGCUCCUAGUACGAGAGGACCGGAGUGGACGCAUCACUGGUGUUCGGGUUGUCAUGCCAAUGGCACUGCCCGGUAGCUAAAUGCGGAAGAGAUAAGUGCUGAAAGCAUCUAAGCACGAAACUUGCCCCGAGAUGAGUUCU
Molecule: ribosomal RNA, 2639 nt
Filed under: Klebsiella pneumoniae
Lineage: Bacteria; Pseudomonadati; Pseudomonadota; Gammaproteobacteria; Enterobacterales; Enterobacteriaceae
Description: bacterial LSU rRNA
Rfam family: Bacterial large subunit ribosomal RNA
Source: RNAcentral